Molecule: long non-coding RNA, 148 nt
Organism: Pipra filicauda (Wire-tailed manakin)
Lineage: Eukaryota; Metazoa; Chordata; Aves; Passeriformes; Pipridae
Exons: 3
Source: RefSeq, a predicted model, not a curated record
CCAGGCCGAGACAAGUUGAAGCAGCCUAGGAAGAAGAUGGGGCCCAAGCGGUCUCGAGGGGUAGCGACUCAGCAGGGAGACGAGCGAGGUGAUAAACAACCCUUUUCCCGUCUGCUAAAUGUGUCGAAGGUCCAUCCGAUCAGAGGUC